GCACUGCUGAGGAGUCCCACAAUAGGACGAGACAACCGUUCAGUGC
Molecule: non-coding RNA, 46 nt
Organism: Schistosoma mansoni
Lineage: Eukaryota; Metazoa; Platyhelminthes; Trematoda; Strigeidida; Schistosomatidae
Source: Rfam